Molecule: long non-coding RNA, 2517 nt
Filed under: Equus asinus (donkey)
Lineage: Eukaryota; Metazoa; Chordata; Mammalia; Perissodactyla; Equidae
Description: lncRNA (ENSEASG00005026580.1)
Source: RNAcentral
CGUCCAGGGAGCGUGUUUCUUUAAUGCUUUGCAAAUGCCUUUGAAUUCUGCAAGGAAAGGACGUUUCCGGAAGGUUGUUAGAAAAUUCAAUGAAUGCAAAAAAUGAGCAUCUAGCAAGCUGCCCGACUCUGUUAUUCAGGAAGCCUAUUUGAGUGACUUUCAACUGACCGAAAGCCACGCAGGAAUCUUGUGGGGGGAGAAUGUCAGACACGCUGGUCCAUGAGGAAGGCAGAGCAGCGACCCAGGCCGGGCCUGGGGGCCAAGCCACCGAGAAGAGGAAACCCAGCCCCGAGGUUGUCCAGGACACGACGAGCAGAAGUCAGCACGACAAGGAUCAGCUCGUCUGCGGCUUCUCAGGGGUGGACGCCCACAGCCUGGGGAAGACAACGGGGGCGGAGGGUCCACGGGCUGCCGGAAUGCCGAGAAGGGAGGUGAAGCAUUUCUGCCAGCGCCCGAGGGGGCUGGGGGACCACGGCCGAGCCCCUGGCAUCGCGGGCAUGUGCCCCGCCCGCAGCUGGAAGGCAGGCCCGCCCAGCCAUGGCCCAACGGGUAGGCGGAAUCAGCACGUGGACGGGCUCUCUGAGGCCAGAAUUUGGAAUGCCACAAGUAGCAAACAGUUAAGUGAUCAACUGGUCACCCCUUUCCAAAAGACCCAGAACUAAUGGGGCCAUAAAACGUGUAAAGUAUCUGCCCCCGGCCAGACCAGACAUGACAGCUAGGGAGCGGACACUUCUGGGGCUCCCUCUCCAUCACCUCGUUCUAGAAGGCAGGCCCGUGGGGAGACAUCCCUGCUGGAAAAUUUUCCCUCCGCGCGUCAUAAUCUGGAAAAGAUUCCCACGCCUCCCGUCACUGGCCAGGCCCCUCGCUCCCCUUGUGGCCAGCACGGAGGGGACAUGUAUUCUUUCCCAAGUUGCAGAUCUGGGGAGAAAGUCUGGAGUUUUUUAAACAGAGCAUGUCUUUACCCCUUGAAGGAAGACGGAAGGAGCCAGAGCCUGGAGCACUGGGUCAUCGUCCCCGCCGUCCAGCCUGACACCUGGGAACGCGCUUUCUGCCCGAGUUGCUGACUUGUGCCAAUUUAUAUGCUAAUUCCAGAAAUGAUUCUUCCCACAUUAAAUAAAAGCUGAGGAAUGUUCCAAAGGUCUGAACAGAUUGUACCAUUAACAGACAGGGGAAGCUGAGCCGUGCUGCCCACAGGAGUCCCGGGCGUGUGAACCGGCCCCCAGCACACGCACUCCCCCCAUUACAGGCCCACGUGCUCCUUCAGCUGACUCGGCCAAACGAAACUGCUUCGGCAUCUAAAGCCUCCGAGGGCCCAUCUCGACCUUGAGGUCCCUUCCAGAGUCACCUUUUGGGAAAGUAAAGAGUGCCAAACAGAAUUGGAGGGGUCCGUGGUGAGCCCGUGCCCCCAAAGUGAUCAACUGCCCCCAAGGACGUCAGUGUCAUCGGAUCACUGCCCUGAUCCGAGGCCUAGGCCCCUGGCCUCCUGGACAGCCUCCUCACACCCUCCUCCAACCCCCGACACACACACACACACACACACACUGAGUUUCUUUUCUCCCCAACUCACCAAGACCUUCCUGCCUCAGAGGCUUUGUACCUUCUGUUCCGCCUGCCAGGAUAGCUCUUCUCCACUCUCUUGACCAGGUUACCCCAACUCCUCGCAGCUCAGAGAAGCCCUCCCGACCUGCACAGGAGGUGAGGCCCCGGUCACACACCCUGUAGGAUGCUGCGUCUUCCUUCCUGGUGCUCCUCACAGCUCUCGUGGGAUUAUUACUUGUGUGAUAUUAUUCUGCAUCUGCAGCUAUCAUUCACUGGUGAGAGCAGGGACCAGGUUUACCCUGUAUCCCCAGGGUCUAGAAGGAUGCUUGCCAGAGGAUGUAGAGAAAGAGAGGGAGGGAGGGAGGAAAAGAGGGAGGAAUGGAUGGAUAGAUGGAAGGAUGGGUGGGUGGGUGAAUAGGUGAUGGAAGGAAGGAAGGAAGGAUAGAUGGUUGGAUGGAUGGAUGAUUGGAUGUUUGAAUGGAUGGAUAUUUGGGUGGAUGAAUGGGUGGAUGGAUGGAUGAUGGGUGGAUGGAUGCUGGGUGGAUGACCAGAUAGAUGGAGAGGGAGAGGAAAGAAGGGAGUGAGAGAGGGAGGAUGGGAGUUUGGAUGGAUGGAUGGAUGGAUGGAUGAUGGCUGGAUGGAUGAUGGAUGGAUGGGUAUGGAUGGAUGGAUGGAUGGAUGGAUGGAUGGAUGGAUGAUGGAUGGAUGGAUGGAUGGAUGAUGGAUAGAUGGAUGGAUGGAUGAUGGAUGGAUGGAUGGAUGAUUGAUGGCUGGAUGGGUAGAUGGAUGGUUGGAUGGAUGGAUGAUGGAUGGAUGAUGGAUGGAUGGAUGGAUGGAUGAUGGCUGGAUGGGUAGAUGGAUGGUUGGAUGGUUGGAUGGAUGGAGGAUGGAUGGAUGGAUGGAUGGAUGGAUGGAUGAUGGACGGAUGGAUGGAUGAUGGCUGGAUGGAUGAUGGCUAGAUGGGAUGAUGGAUGGAUG